CCUACGGGAGGCAGCAGUGGGGAAUAUUGGGCAAUGGAGGAAACUCUGACCCAGCAACGCCGCGUGAAUGAUGAAGGUCUUCGGAUUGUAAAGUUCUUUUCUAAGGGAAGAAGAAAGUGACGGUACCUUAGGAAUAAGCCUCUGCUAACUACGUGCCAGCAGCCGCGUUAAUACGUAGGAGGCAAGCGUUAGCCGGAUUGACUGGGCGUAAAGGGUGCGUAGGUGGUUUGAUAAGUUAGUAGCGUAACUCCGAGGCUCAACCUCGGCACUACUACCAAGACUGUCGGACUUGAGUGCAGGAGGGGCAACUGGAAUUCCUAGUGUAGCGGUGGAAUGCGUAGAUAUUAGGAGGAACACCAGUGGCGAAGGCGAGUUGCUGGACUGUAACUGACACUGAGGCACGAAAGCGUGGGGAGCAAACAGGAUUAGAUACCCCUGUAGUC
RNAcentral lists this ribosomal RNA (443 nucleotides) under uncultured bacterium. RNAcentral's name for it is "partial 16S ribosomal RNA". It matches the Rfam family "Bacterial small subunit ribosomal RNA", at positions 338 to 795 of the family's 1533-position model. The record is from RNAcentral.